UAGGGAAUCUUCCACAAUGGACGCAAGUCUGAUGGAGCAACGCCGCGUGAGUGAAGAAGGUUUUCGGACCGUAAAGCUCUGUUGUUGGUGAAGAAGGAUAGAGGUAGUAACUGGCCUUUAUUUGACGUAUACAACCAGAAAGUCACGGCUAACUACGUGCCAGCAGCCGCGGUAAUACGUAGGUGGCAAGCGUUGUCCGGAUUUAUUGGGCGUAAAGCGAGCGCAGGCGGAAGAAUAAGUCUGAUGUGAAAGCCCUCGGCUUAACCGAGGAAUUGCAUCGGAAACUGUUUUUCUU
Molecule: ribosomal RNA, 295 nt
Filed under: uncultured bacterium
Lineage: Bacteria
Description: partial 16S ribosomal RNA
Rfam family: Bacterial small subunit ribosomal RNA
Source: RNAcentral